This 253-nucleotide ribosomal RNA is filed under the name uncultured bacterium. Its description in RNAcentral is "partial 16S ribosomal RNA". It matches the Rfam family "Bacterial small subunit ribosomal RNA", at positions 524 to 776 of the family's 1533-position model. The record is from RNAcentral.
UACGAAGGGGGCUAGCGCUGCUCGGAAUCACUGGGCGUAAAGCGCACGUAGGCGGCUUGUUAAGUCAGGGGUGAAAUCCUGGAGCUCAACUCCAGAACUGCCUUUGAUACUGAUGAGCUUGAGUUCGGGAGAGGUGAGUGGAACUGCGAGUGUAGAGGUGAAAUUCGUAGAUAUUCGCAAGAACACCAGUGGCGAAGGCGGCUCACUGGCCCGAUACUGACGCUGAGGUGCGAAAGCGUGGGGAGCAAACAGG